AUUGAACGCUGGCGGCAUGCCUUACACAUGCAAGUCGAACGGCAGCACGGGUGCUUGCACCUGGCGGCGAGUGGCGAACGGGUGAGUAAUACAUCGGAACGUACCUUAUCGUGGGGGAUAUCGCAGCGAAAGUUGCGCUAAUACCGCAUACGCCCUGAGGGGGAAAGCGGGGGACCGUAAGGCCUCGCGCGAUUAGAGCGGCCGAUGUCUGAUUAGCUUGUUGGUGAGGGAAAAGCUCACCAAGGCGAUGAUCAGUAGCUGGUCUGAGAGGACGAUCAGCCACACUGGGACUGAGACACGGCCCAGACUCCUACGGGAGGCAGCAGUGGGGAAUUUUGGACAAUGGGGGCAACCCUGAUCCAGCAAUGCCGCGUGAGCGAAGAAGGCCUUCGGGUUGUAAAGCUCUUUUGUCAGGGAAGAAACAGCAGCUCUAACACAGUCUGCGAAUGACGGUACCUGAAGAAUAAGCACCUGCUAACCACGUGCCAGCCGCCGCAGUAA
Molecule: ribosomal RNA, 501 nt
Filed under: uncultured bacterium
Lineage: Bacteria
Description: partial 16S ribosomal RNA
Rfam family: Bacterial small subunit ribosomal RNA
Source: RNAcentral